RNAcentral lists this non-coding RNA (22 nucleotides) under Rattus norvegicus (Norway rat). The record is from RNAcentral. Lineage: Eukaryota; Metazoa; Chordata; Mammalia; Rodentia; Muridae.
UGUCUGACUCCAGCAAGUUGCC